CAAUAAACAAGUGAAGCUGACUUUAUGUCUCAAGCCGCAGUUUCGAUGUCAAACAUCACAACCUCAAUGGUAGCGUCCCUUUGAGAUGCAUAAGGUCACAGGGUAUUGCAAGUGAGAAUACUUUAACAGAGAUAUCACAGUGAAAUAGGAGCACACUUGUAUCGGUACGCCCUUUUGCAAAUCUAUAUACAAAUCAAAAAAUUAUGAGGAAGUAUUUGGGGUUUGUUCGCCUUACCUACAUGCGAGGGAGUAUAAUCUCU
This is a long non-coding RNA of Octopus bimaculoides (California two-spot octopus), 260 nucleotides long. RefSeq lists it as uncharacterized. The record is from RefSeq and is a predicted model, not a curated record. NCBI's taxonomy places the organism in Eukaryota, Metazoa, Mollusca, Cephalopoda, Octopoda, Octopodidae.